RNAcentral lists this ribosomal RNA (945 nucleotides) under Triticum aestivum (bread wheat). Its description in RNAcentral is "partial small subunit ribosomal RNA". The record is from RNAcentral. Lineage: Eukaryota; Viridiplantae; Streptophyta; Magnoliopsida; Poales; Poaceae.
AUGUAUAGUGGGUUUUUCCGUCGGAAUCAAGUAACAACAGAGUGGGUCGAGAAAACUGAUGUGUUUUUGAAAGAGAUAUUCCGUAGUCCAAUGAGGAUGGUGCCAGAAUGCCCGUGUGCCAGAUGUAAGAGGCGUAUUCGCAGAGAUAAGAGUGAGAUGACUAAGCACCUUCGCACGCAUGGAUUUAUGCCCAACUUUAAUAUGCCGAUAAACUUUGCCCAGCGGGACCAUGGUAGAGAGGAUGUGAUACGACAACGCGUCGCUGGUUAUGAGGACGAUGGGGUUAGAGACAUGCUAGAUGAUGUCUUUGCUGCACAACCGACACCUCUGUCACAUUCAGCGAAUGAACCGGAGGAGCCGGAGGAAACCGCAAAGGCCUUCCUGGAAAUCUUGGCCUCGUCAAAGAAACCUCUCUAUGAGGGUGCCAAGCUGUCUGUGUUGGAUGCCAUAUCGCAACUGAUGGCAGUCAAGGCUGAGUACGGCUGUAGCCGAGGUUGCUUCGAAGCAUUUCUGGGAGUAUGGGCUAACAGCCUGCCUGAGGGCCAUGAACUGCCGAAAACCAUGUACGGUACGAAGGAAAUCAUGAAGGCGCUCUCGAUGGACUAUGAGAAAAUACAUGUUUGUCCAAAGAAUUGCCUUUUGUUUAGGCAUGAGUAUGCGGAUGACAAGUACUGUAGGAAGUGCGGUUCCUCUCGGUAUAUUGAGGUGGUCGAUAAGCAUGAUCAGAAGCAGCAGCUAAAAAUCCCUGUGAAGGUUCUUCGGUAUCUUGAUUUUAUAAAAAGACUGCAGCGCCUUUUCAUCACCGAGGAGUCUGCCAAAAUGAUGAAGUGGCACAAGGAAGGGAAAAGGUACAAUCCAAAAAAAAUUGUACAUCCAUCAGGAGGUGAAGCAUGGAAGUCAUUCGAUAUAGAGUACCCGGAGGAAGCAACCGAGGCUGGGAAUGUC